AUGCCGAGGUUGAGCGUGCUCCAAGUUGAAGGUCUCCAAGCUCACCUUGGAUGCCUUCCCAACCCUUUUUGCCACCAUCUCCACAAAGUAUGUCAUCUAGCAAGUAACUCAUAUCACUGGAACAAAAUAGUUGCUGAUCACAUGUAUGAGGAGCAAAAUAAGGAUGCGUCUGUCACCAUGGAAAACUGCCGUUACCUGGUUGAGUGGCCCGUCAGCAAAUCCAAGUUUGAUGCUCCAACAUAUGCAACGCGAUUAACAGCGGAAGAUCCUGAUGAAAAAUAUGAAGUCAUUGACAUUGGGGAGAUUUGGCGGUGCAAGGACAAGUCACUAGGCCCAGAGCUAAAGGAUGCAUGCCUUUCCUUCUCUCUUUUUCAUCUGCUGAGAAGGCGCUACUUUGGGUUUGCCUGUGACGAAUCCAAAGACAGGGCACACGAUUUUGUCUUCAAAGGGCUUCUGUCGGAUGAUGAUGAUGCCACAGACUAUAACAGGGUGUUCAAGGUGCUUGAGGUUGAGUUAGCCUAUACAUAUGAUUUCUUCUUCACCAAGUAUGCUGUCAUUUAUUAUGGAUCAAUGGCUGCAACAAUUUGGUCCCUGAUUUCUGUCAUCGGCUUAUCUAUCACGGCAUUCAUUACUGCUAUCACGAGCCACAUUAUAAGUAGAGGUAGAGAUGAUGUUGUUAUCACAUUAGUGAUACUUGUAUCCACUGCUUUACUUGAAUUCCUACAGAUGUUGUUUUACUGGAUGGGCAUUUGGGGCAGAGUAUCAUUUGUUUGUCAGUCUAUCAGGGAACAAGCAAGAGUCAACAGAAACAAAGCGAGCAUAGGGGGAAGUUGCUUCGUCAAGAUUGGUGUGUGCCUUGCAUAUUGGAUCAUGGGAUUAAGGGAAAUUCUUGCCAAUAUUGGUGUGAAGUUUGCACCAUACCAACACUACUGGCAACACAAGCUUGGGCAGUACUCAUUACUUGAUUCAGUCAGCCACAAUCCUAACCCGUCAAAGCAUAGAUCCGACAGAAAGCUGGGGACAGUGGUGAAAUUCUUUCACCUUAUGGACGUUAGGUUCUUCCAUCAAACAAAUGUUCAGGCAUUACAGGUCCGACAGAAAGCUGCGAAAUCUGUUGAGUUGCCUGAUGAAGUAAAGGAGGCAGUUAUCCGCUCUCUUAAACGCACCAGUGGCACACUAAGCAAUGGGAGAUCUUCUUUACAGUUCAAUGGAGCAGAGCAUCUCUUAUGGGCCUGUGAGUGGGAAAUGCACCUGGAUCCAAGCUGGUACCAGAGAAUACAGAAUCAGACACACAUUAUUUUGACUUGGCACAUUGCAACAUGGUACUGUGAGAUGGUACCGCUUUCUCCAGUUGCGGCACCAGAAGUCAAGGAUACAAGAAGCAAGUUGGAUGCAGCUGCAGUAGAAGCAGUCACGGUCCUGGAGAAGUCAACGAGCAACGGCGUCAAACUUGGGAGGCAACUAGAGGAAAUGGAAGAAGGCGCCCGCUGGAAGGUGAUGGCUGAUUUCUGGGCCGAGAUGAUUCUCUACGUCGCGCCGUCAGACAAUGUCAAUGAGCACAUUGAGCAGCUGGCGCGGGGCGGGGAGUUCAUCACCCACCUCUGGGCUUUGCUCUCUCAUGCAGGCAUCCUUGAAAGGGAUCCCGAGCAUCAAGCUGGGGGCGUGUAA
Molecule: ribosomal RNA, 1668 nt
Filed under: Triticum aestivum (bread wheat)
Lineage: Eukaryota; Viridiplantae; Streptophyta; Magnoliopsida; Poales; Poaceae
Description: partial small subunit ribosomal RNA
Source: RNAcentral